This 251-nucleotide ribosomal RNA is filed under the name uncultured prokaryote. RNAcentral's name for it is "partial 16S rRNA". It matches the Rfam family "Bacterial small subunit ribosomal RNA", at positions 525 to 775 of the family's 1533-position model. The record is from RNAcentral.
ACGUAGGGUGCAAGCGUUAUCCGGAAUUAUUGGGCGUAAAGAGCUCGUAGGCGGUUUGUCGCGUCUGUCGUGAAAGUCCGGGGCUCAACUCCGGAUCUGCGGUGGGAACGGGCAGACUUGAGUGAAGUAGAGGAGAGUGGAAUUCCUGGUGUAGCGGUGGAAUGCGUAGAUAUCAGGAGGAACACCGAUGGCGAAGGCAGCUCGCUGGGCUUUAACUGACGCUGAGGAGCGAAAGCAUGGGGAGCAAACAG